UACGAAGGGGGCUAGCGUUGCUCGGAAUCACUGGGCGUAAAGGGUGCGUAGGCGGGUCUUUAAGUCAGGGGUGAAAUCCUGGAGCUCAACUCCAGAACUGCCUUUGAUACUGAGAGGCUUGAGUCCGGGAGAGGUGAGUGGAACUGCGAGCGUAGAGGUGAAAUUCGUAGAUAUUCGCAAGAACACCAGUGGCGAAGGCGACUCUUUGGCCUGUAACUGACGCUGAGGCGCGAAAGCGUGGGGAGCAAACAGG
This 253-nucleotide ribosomal RNA is filed under the name uncultured bacterium. RNAcentral's name for it is "partial 16S ribosomal RNA". It matches the Rfam family "Bacterial small subunit ribosomal RNA", at positions 524 to 776 of the family's 1533-position model. The record is from RNAcentral.